GGUCGCGUGGCCGAGCGGUGUAAGGCGCUGGUUUUAGGCACCAAUCCAAAAGGGCGUGGGUUCGAAUCCCACCGCUGCCA
Molecule: non-coding RNA, 80 nt
Organism: Ornithodoros turicata
Lineage: Eukaryota; Metazoa; Arthropoda; Arachnida; Ixodida; Argasidae
Source: the annotation of a RefSeq genome assembly